GAUGAACGCUGGCGGCGUGCCUAAUACAUGCAAGUCGAGCGAUCAGACGAGGAGCUUGCUCCUCUGACGUUAGCGGCGGACGGGUGAGUAACACGUGGAUAACCUACCUAUAAGACUGGGAUAACUUCGGGAAACCGGAGCUAAUACCGUAUAACAUGUUGAACCGCAUGGUUCAACAGUGAAAGACGGUCUUGCUGUCACUUAUAGAUGGAUCCGCGCCGCAUUAGCUAGUUGGUAAGGUAACGGCUUACCAAGGCAACGAUGCGUAGCCGACCUGAGAGGGUGAUCGGCCACACUGGAACUGAGACACGGUCCAGACUCCUACGGGAGGCAGCAGUAGGGAAUCUUCGCAAAGGGCGAAAGCCUGACGGAGCAACGCCGCGUGAGUGAAGAAGGUCUUCGGAUCGUAAAACUCUGUUAUUAGGGAAGAACAAAUGUGUAAGUAACUAUGCACGUCUUGACGGUACCUAAUCAGAAAGCCACGGCUAACUACGUG
RNAcentral lists this ribosomal RNA (496 nucleotides) under uncultured bacterium. RNAcentral describes it as "partial 16S ribosomal RNA". It matches the Rfam family "Bacterial small subunit ribosomal RNA", at positions 28 to 507 of the family's 1533-position model. The record is from RNAcentral.